Hipposideros armiger (great roundleaf bat) is the source of this 757-nucleotide long non-coding RNA. RefSeq lists it as uncharacterized. The record is from RefSeq and is a predicted model, not a curated record. NCBI's taxonomy places the organism in Eukaryota, Metazoa, Chordata, Mammalia, Chiroptera, Hipposideridae. The transcript is spliced from 4 exons.
GUCAGGCCGCUCCACCCUCUUCUUGCCAAAGCGCGGGGAGGGGUGGCCGGGAACCUGCGCGCUGGCGGGGUCCACCGCGCUCGGCAUCGUCGGGGCUGCAGCGGCGCGGGCGGCCAGAUUCGCGCUUCCGGUCCUGGGGGGCUGCGGGGGUCCACCCUUCAGCCUCAGCCGAGGGGCGCGGCUGCUCCCUCCUUCACUCUGCCUCCGCGAGAGGAUAUAAGAAGAGCAAUUUUCCUACGCCCUUACUGGCAUUAUGGCAUCUCACGGUUGUUCAGAUGGUAGGAAUUUCAUGAGAUGGCGGCGCCAUUUGGCCUGUCAGCAUCUCUCCUAGCACACAGACUCACGUCUGAGAGCCCCUGUUGUAUAGCAUCCAUUCUAGAUGGAUUGCACCCACCUUCUCUGGAAAACGUCCAGUGACAGGAUCCCGCCACCUCGCAAAGACGUCUGUUCCCAUCUCCGCUGAAAAUCUACCUAUUUCUGGCCCUGGAUUAUUUCAGCGACCUCCGAACUGAUUCCCUGUCUCCAGCUUCUGACUUUUGCAAGCCAACCUAUAUAUGCUGAAAAGUAAAUCUUCCUAAAAAGCCCAGCUCUGAUUAUGAUGUCAUCUCCCUGAUGAAACACCAUCUUCAAAUUAAGUCCAAGUUUCUCUUCCAGGCUUCCAAGCAUCUGUAUGUGAUAUGUCCCUAAAUUCCCCCUUCCCCUUUAUCCCACUAUUGGAUUCUGUCCUACAGGGAUUCUGGUUCCAGCUGAACUGAGU